CGCUGGCGGCGUGCUUAACACAUGCAAGUCGAGCGAUGAAGCUUCUUCGGGAGUGGAUUAGCGGCGGACGGGUGAGUAACACGUGGGUAACCUGCCUCAUAGAGGGGAAUAGCCUUUCGAAAGGAAGAUUAAUACCGCAUAAGAUUGUAGUACCGCAUGGUACAGCAAUUAAAGGAGUAAUCCGCUAUGAGAUGGACCCGCGUCGCAUUAGCUAGUUGGUGAGGUAACGGCUCACCAAGGCGACGAUGCGUAGCCGACCUGAGAGGGUGAUCGGCCACAUUGGGACUGAGACACGGCCCAGACUCCUACGGGAGGCAGCAGUGGGGAAUAUUGCACAAUGGGGGAAACCCUGAAUGCAGCAACGCCGCGUGAGUGAUGACGGCCUUCGGGUUGUAAAACUCUGUCUUUGGGGACGAUAAUGACGGUACCCAAGGAGGAAGCCACGGCUAACUACGUGCCAGCCGCGGC
RNAcentral lists this ribosomal RNA (468 nucleotides) under uncultured bacterium. RNAcentral describes it as "bacterial SSU rRNA". It matches the Rfam family "Bacterial small subunit ribosomal RNA", at positions 34 to 518 of the family's 1533-position model. The record is from RNAcentral.